Molecule: ribosomal RNA, 591 nt
Filed under: Glycomyces sp. X3016
Lineage: Bacteria; Bacillati; Actinomycetota; Actinomycetes; Glycomycetales; Glycomycetaceae
Description: bacterial SSU rRNA
Rfam family: Bacterial small subunit ribosomal RNA
Source: RNAcentral
GGGUACUCGAGUGGCGAACGGGUGAGUAACACGUGGGUAACCUGCCCCCAUCUCUGGGAUAACCGUUGGAAACGGCGGCUAAUACCGGAUACGACCGAGUUCCGCAUGGUUCUCGGUGGAAAGUUUUUGCGGUUGGGGAGGGGCCCGCGGCCUAUCAGCUUGUUGGUGCGGUAGUGGCGCACCAAGGCUUUGACGGGUAGCCGGCCUGAGAGGGCGGUCGGUCACAUUGGGACUGAGAUACGGCCCAGACUCCUACGGGAGGCAGCAGUGGGGAAUUUUGCACAAUGGGCGCAAGCCUGAUGCAGCGACGCCGCGUGAGGGAUGACGGCUUUCGGGUUGUAAACCUCUUUUAUCCACCACGAAGGCUCCGUAUUCGCGGGGUUGACGGUAGUGGUUGAAUAAGCGCCGGCUAACUACGUGCCAGCAGCCGCGGUAAGACGUAGGGCGCGAGCGUUGUCCGGAUUUAUUGGGCGUAAAGGGCUCGUAGGCGGUUGAUUGCGUCCGCCGUGAAAGGCCUCGGCUUAACCGGGGUUUUGCGGUGGAUACGGGUCGACUUGAGGCAAUUAGGGGAGAUCGGAAUUCUACGUGUAG